Molecule: long non-coding RNA, 283 nt
Organism: Tupaia belangeri chinensis (Chinese tree shrew)
Lineage: Eukaryota; Metazoa; Chordata; Mammalia; Scandentia; Tupaiidae
Exons: 3
Source: RefSeq, a predicted model, not a curated record
GAAUGGAGGAAAAGGGAUUGUGGUAUGAUCAGCAAAUCCUGGUGGUGAUGAGGACCAUGUGAGAAGGAACAGAAAUCACCUCUCUAUAUGCAGCAAUCCUUAAAUGAGAGAAUCUCCUUUGACACUAUGAGCACUUAAAGUAUUGUUCAGGCUCAUCCUAGUAGAAGAAAAGACAGAAAAUGAUAUCUCCAAUUUAUUACUGAAUUUGUCUGGGGGCACUGUUCUGAUAGAAAUGACACUAAAUCCACUGGGAAGUAGAAACUAUGGAUGUGAUGAGGAUGCA